UUUCAGCGGAAGAUGGCCGCUUUGCGACGUAAAGAACGUGCCGGACUUUCCCAGUUGCUUGCAAAGCCUGCUGCUUUUUCUUAAAUUACAUUUAAUGUUUUCUUUGAGGGCAGUGGAAACGUAUGUAGUUUUUGGAAGAAAAUGGAGCUAGGCAGACGCUUUGAAUCCGCCGAGAUCCGCCUCCUCCGCUUUGGAAAACUUGCCCCGAGAAGCACUCAGGAAAAGGAGAGUAGAACUAGGAUACCCGAUCAAGGUGGCGGGGGAAGAGAAUGUUGGGUGGAUAUUGGGAAGCCUGGAAGCAAUCAAGACAGCUGUGGCACCAGAGAAGUCUUUAAUAUGUAACAUCACUUGCAUGGACAAUACAAGAUGUGUGGACACAUCAAAUAUGGAUCUUUUGUCACUAGCCAUGUUUAAAAUAGAACUUGAUGCAGUUUUUUCUAAACCUAAACAAACAUAUUAAAUGAAUCUGGGUCUACUUUUUACCAGUGUUAAAUGGGGCUUUAAUGAGAUCUCUAACAAUGUAAGUGCCGUUCAUUUGAAUGCAAGAAAUGCCUUCAAUUCUU
Molecule: long non-coding RNA, 563 nt
Organism: Eublepharis macularius
Lineage: Eukaryota; Metazoa; Chordata; Lepidosauria; Squamata; Eublepharidae
Exons: 2
Source: RefSeq, a predicted model, not a curated record